This 502-nucleotide ribosomal RNA is filed under the name uncultured bacterium. RNAcentral describes it as "partial 16S ribosomal RNA". It matches the Rfam family "Bacterial small subunit ribosomal RNA", at positions 28 to 507 of the family's 1533-position model. The record is from RNAcentral.
GAUUAACGCUGGCGGCGUGCCUAACACAUGCAAGUCGAGCGGCAGCGAGUUUUACACUGAAUUCUGGAAGCUUCUAGUUGAAAGAGAAGAUUUAUUCAAGAAUUUUGUGUAAAAUGUCGGCGAGCGGCGGACGGCUGAGUAACGCGUGGGAACGUACCCCAAAGUGAGGGAUAACGCAUCGAAAGGUGUGCUAAUACCGCAUAUGGUCUUCGGAUUAAGGCCUUCGGGCGCUUUGGGAACGGCCUGCGUAAGAUUAGAUAGUUGGUGGGGUAAUGGCCUACCAAGUCGACGAUCUUUAACUGGUUUGAGAGGAUGAUCAGUCAGACUGGAACUGAGACACGGUCCAGACUCCUACGGGAGGCAGCAGUGAGGAAUCUUCCACAAUGGGCGAAAGCCUGAUGGAGCAACGCCGCGUGCAGGAUGAAGGCCUUCGGGUUGUAAACUGCUUUUAUAAGUGAGGAUUAUGACAGUAACUUAUGAAUAAGGAUCGGCUAACUACGUG